UUAAUUUAUUUAUUUAAUGGG
This 21-nucleotide non-coding RNA is filed under the name Caenorhabditis elegans. The record is from RNAcentral. Lineage: Eukaryota; Metazoa; Nematoda; Chromadorea; Rhabditida; Rhabditidae.